This 185-nucleotide ribosomal RNA is filed under the name Teratosphaeria cryptica. RNAcentral describes it as "5.8S ribosomal RNA". The stretch from base 1 to 150 matches the Rfam family "5.8S ribosomal RNA". From Rfam's summary of the family: 5.8S ribosomal RNA (5.8S rRNA) is a component of the large subunit of the eukaryotic ribosome. It is transcribed by RNA polymerase I as part of the 45S precursor that also contains 18S and 28S rRNA. Functionally, it is thought that 5.8S rRNA may be involved in ribosome translocation. The record is from RNAcentral. Lineage: Eukaryota; Fungi; Ascomycota; Dothideomycetes; Mycosphaerellales; Teratosphaeriaceae.
UUCAACAACGGAUCUCUUGGUUCUGGCAUCGAUGAAGAACGCAGCGAAAUGCGAUAAGUAAUGUGAAUUGCAGAAUUCAGUGAAUCAUCGAAUCUUUGAACGCACAUUGCGCCCUCUGGUAUUCCGGAGGGCAUGCCUGUUCGAGCGUCAUUACACCCCUCCAGCCUCGCUGGGUGUUGGGCAUC